AUGAAUGCACUUCAGAGCUCCAUGACCAUGUAGAAUGUGUCCAUUUAGUACCAUUUGUUCUAUUUUCAAUAACAGCCUCUGUCCCGGAGGAAAGACUAACAACCCAAAGAAUCAUCCCCAAGAAACUAUUUGGCACAUUCCAUGGUGCAAGAAAAUAGAUUGUAGAGCCAAAUCUUUGAUGACUGAACCAGUUGGAAUCUUUCUCCGUGGAAGGAAUAUGUCGAUUUC
Molecule: long non-coding RNA, 228 nt
Filed under: Panax ginseng (ginseng)
Lineage: Eukaryota; Viridiplantae; Streptophyta; Magnoliopsida; Apiales; Araliaceae
Description: long non-coding RNA (PGIN_LNC002085)
Source: RNAcentral